GGAAUCUUGCGCAAUGGGCGAAAGCCUGACGCAGCGACGCCGCGUGGGUGACGAAGGCCUUCGGUUGUAAAGACCCUGUGGGGUAGAACGAACUGGCAUCGGGCUAAUAUCCCGGUGUCUUGACGGUACUGCCUUAGCAAGCAUCGGCUAACUCUGUGCCAGCAGCCGCGGUAAGACAGAGGAUGCGAACGUUGCUCGGAUUUACUGGGCGUAAAGCGCGUGUAGGCGGUCUCGUUAGUCGGGGUGUGAAAGCCCCGGGCUCAACCCGGGAAGUGCACCCGAUACUGCGAGACUGGGGUACUGAAGAGGAGAGCGGAAUUCCCGGUGUAGAGGUGAAAUUCGUAGAUAUCGGGAGGAACACCAGUGGCGAAGGCGGCUCUCUGGGCAGAUACCGACGCUGAGACGCGAAAGCGGGGGAGCAAACAGGAUUAGAUACCCUGGUAGUCCACGCUGUAAACGAUGACGACUGGGUGUUGCAGGUAUUGACCCCUGCGGUGCCGAAGCCAACGCGUUAAGUCGUCCGCC
This 525-nucleotide ribosomal RNA is filed under the name uncultured bacterium. Its description in RNAcentral is "bacterial SSU rRNA". It matches the Rfam family "Bacterial small subunit ribosomal RNA", at positions 358 to 873 of the family's 1533-position model. The record is from RNAcentral.